Molecule: ribosomal RNA, 454 nt
Filed under: uncultured bacterium
Lineage: Bacteria
Description: bacterial SSU rRNA
Rfam family: Bacterial small subunit ribosomal RNA
Source: RNAcentral
GAUGAACGCUGGCGGCGUGCCUAAUACAUGCAAGUCGAACGCUUCACUUCGGUGAAGAGUGGCGAACGGGUGAGUAAUACAUAAGUAACCUGGCAUCUACAGGGGGAUAACUGAUGGAAACGUCAGCUAAGACCGCAUAGGUGUAGAGAUCGCAUGAACUCUAUAUGAAAAGUGCUACGGGACUGGUAGAUGAUGGACUUAUGGCGCAUUAGCUUGUUGGUAGGGUAACGGCCUACCAAGGCGACGAUGCGUAGCCGACCUGAGAGGGUGACCGGCCACACUGGGACUGAGACACGGCCCAGACUCCUACGGGAGGCAGCAGUAGGGAAUUUUCGGCAAUGGGGGAAACCCUGACCGAGCAACGCCGCGUGAAGGAAGAAGUAAUUCGUUAUGUAAACUUCUGUCAUAGAGGAAGAACGGUGGAUAUAGGGAAUGAUAUCCAAGUGACGAUACU